AACGCUAGCUACAGGCUUAACACAUGCGAGUCGAGGGGCAGCAUGGUCUUAGCUUGCUAAGGCCGAUGGCGACCGGCGCACGGGUGAGUAACACGUAUCCAACCUGCCGUCUACUCUUGGACAGCCUUCUGAAAGGAAGAUUAAUACAAGAUGGCAUCAUGAGUUCACAUGUUCACAUGAUUAAAGGUAUUCCGGUAGACGAUGGGGAUGCGUUCCAUUAGAUAGUAGGCGGGGUAACGGCCCACCUAGUCUUCGAUGGAUAGGGGUUCUGAGAGGAAGGUCCCCCACAUUGGAACUGAGACACGGUCCAAACUCCUACGGGAGGCAGCAGUGAGGAAUAUUGGUCAAUGGGCGCAGGCCUGAACCAGCCAAGUAGCGUGAAGGAUGACUGCCCUAUGGGUUGUAAACUUCUUUUAUAAAGGAAUAAAGUCGGGUAUGUAUACCCGUUUGCAUGUACUUUAUGAAUAAGGAUCGGCUAACUCCGUGCCAGCAGCCGCGGUAAUACGGAGGAUCCGAGCGUUAUCCGGAUUUAUUGGGUUUAAAGGGAGCGUAGAUGGAUGUUUAAGUCAGUUGUGAAAGUUUGCGGCUCAACCGUAAAAUUGCAGUUGAUACUGGAUAUCUUGAGUGCAGUUGAGGCAGGCGGAAUUCGUGGUGUAGCGGUGAAAUGCUUAGAUAUCACGAAGAACUCCGAUUG
Molecule: ribosomal RNA, 694 nt
Filed under: uncultured bacterium
Lineage: Bacteria
Description: bacterial SSU rRNA
Rfam family: Bacterial small subunit ribosomal RNA
Source: RNAcentral